CCUACGGGUGGCAGCAGUGGGGAAUAUUGGACAAUGGGCGAAAGCCUGAUCCAGCCAUGCCGCGUGUGUGAAGAAGGCCUUCGGGUUGUAAAGCACUUUCAGUGGGGAAGAAAGCCUUGGGGCUAAUACCCUCGAGGAAGGACAUCACCCACAGAAGAAGCACCGGCUAACUCCGUGCCAGCAGCCGCGGUAAUACGGAGGGUGCGAGCGUUAAUCCGAAUUACUGGGCGUAAAGCGCGCGUAGGCGGUCUGAUAAGCCGGUUGUGAAAGCCCCGGGCUCAACCUGGGAACGGCAUCCGGAACUGUCAGGCUAGAGUGCAGGAGAGGAAGGUAGAAUUCCCGGUGUAGCGGUGAAAUGCGUAGAGAUCGGGAGGAAUACCAGUGGCGAAGGCGGCCUUCUGGACUGACACUGACGCUGAGGUGCGAAAGCGUGGGUAGCAAACAGGAUUAGAUACCCCUGUAGUC
RNAcentral lists this ribosomal RNA (465 nucleotides) under Vreelandella stevensii. RNAcentral describes it as "partial 16S ribosomal RNA". It matches the Rfam family "Bacterial small subunit ribosomal RNA", at positions 338 to 795 of the family's 1533-position model. The record is from RNAcentral. Lineage: Bacteria; Pseudomonadati; Pseudomonadota; Gammaproteobacteria; Oceanospirillales; Halomonadaceae.